UACGAAGGGGGCUAGCGUUGUUCGGAAUUACUGGGCGUAAAGCGCGCGCAGGCGGUCUUCCAAGUCAGUGGUGAAAGCCCGGAGCUCAACUCCGGAACUGCCAUUGAAACUGUGAGACUUGAGGAUGAGAGAGGUGAGUGGAAAUCCCAGUGUAGAGGUGAAAUUCGUAGAUAUUGGGAAGAACACCGGUGGCGAAGGCGGCUCACUGGCUCAUUUCUGACGCUCAGGCGCGACAGCGUGGGGAUCAAACAGG
RNAcentral lists this ribosomal RNA (253 nucleotides) under uncultured bacterium. Its description in RNAcentral is "partial 16S ribosomal RNA". It matches the Rfam family "Bacterial small subunit ribosomal RNA", at positions 524 to 776 of the family's 1533-position model. The record is from RNAcentral.